RNAcentral lists this long non-coding RNA (1448 nucleotides) under Cricetulus griseus (Chinese hamster). RNAcentral's name for it is "lncRNA (ENSCGRG00015030149.1)". Lineage: Eukaryota; Metazoa; Chordata; Mammalia; Rodentia; Cricetidae. The record is from RNAcentral.
GCCCAGAUGGAGAGGGACAAAGAGAGGCCAGGACAGUGCGCGGGCUCGCGCAGGAGGUUGACAGAUAGAAGUGGGGAUACAGGCUCUGAAUUCUCAUUCUGACAGAGCGCCCCAAGAGAAAACUCUCAGGAAACACUUGUUUUCCGUUCUCUUUUUCCUAACCCAGCCUUUAUUGAAAUUGGGAACCGAGAUGGGUGCCCAAGGGGGCCCCCCCAAGGGUGAAAAACCAACUUCCUUGAUAAAUUCCUGUCCUUUCAUCUUGGGACUCUUUGUGUCCUCUGAAUUUUUUCCCCCCCAGCAAUCGGAGAUUAAGAAGUCACUCUGAUGUCUAACUGCAAUCCCUAUCGUUGUUCCAUUCUACUUUGAGGAAGCUUUUGAAUUGCCUUCAAGGAAUGUGAAAAGUGAACCCUUUUAUGAGCCUUUAGAGAGUUGCCAACCUUCUGAAUCUUGGAAGGACUGAGCAGGAAGGACUUUUAGGGUUCGCCUGGUCACCACGAUCUGCCUUCAGCAAAGCAGCUGUUCUGUAGCGGUUAGUCCUUUAUGCUGGCAACAGCUCUGGUUACACUUUGCCCUCAAACCACAGUCUAUCAUUUACUAGCCCUUUGACUUUGAACAAAUUAACCUGUUGGUGUUUGUUUUCCCAUUUGUAAGAAAGUAUAAUAGAUCGUCAUGGGAAUUUUAUGCUUACAUGAAAUAUCUUUGCAUGGUUUAGCACUACACAAAGAGUGUCCCCCCUACCCUCAUCUUUCUACAGAUCAUGAAACCUGAAGCCUAGAGUGGCCCAGAGGUCUCAAGUUCAUGGAGCUGUCACUCAGGUCCUUGGCCAGAUCUCAGCUCCACAAUCCCAAGCAGCUGUCUGCACCGUGUCUCAGUAGCCUCAGCUUGCUUUUGUUUGUUGGCUGUGGAGAACACCUUGAAAUACAUGCUUUUGGCAUUUGAAGCAGGGGCAUCUUGUCAACCCAACUCACAUUUCAUCCCCAAGUACUCUCAUGAUGUUCACCCAGUACCUCACCCUGUCCAACCUUAGAUAAGGAUGGAGGCUCCAGUGACUGAGCAUGGUGAUUCAUACAUGAAAUUCCCACUUUCUGAGCCCGAGGCAGGAGAAUCAGGUAUUCAAGGCCAGCCUCAGCUACACAGUGACACAUUGUUUCCAAAGAAAGAAAAGGAAAGAAUGGUCUUAGCAAGGAUGACAUAACUGUAAUGUUUGCACUCUAGAGUGGAGGACAAUGAGGUGGUGAGACACUUUAUUAAAAAACAAAAACAUGCCUGGCAGGGGUGGCACACGCCUUUAAUCCGAGCACUGGGGAGGCAGACGCAGGCGGAUCUCUGUGAGUUUGAGGUCCUGCAAAUCCUGGGCCUCCACCCUUGGUCACGGAUCCUGCUGGCACUUUCAAUACUCAACCGGAAGUCAGAAAGAAAACACAGAGAACCAGCGCCAUCUGGUGGAC